CUGGACUCGUGUCACAUGUUACAAACCACAAUGUGAUGUUCUAUCACUUAAAAUUACAUUACUAGACGAAAAGAAACAUUAAAUUUAUAAAUAUGUUCCUUUAAACAUAUAACCUGAUUGACAUUGAGAAAUCAAACAACAAUUUCUUCCCGUUGACGUCAAACAAAGACCAUUGACUAUUUGAACUCGUUCAAUAACAUGGAAAAUUUUCAGCUUUUUAUACUGAAACUUACGUAAAGAUUAAUCCACAAUGUUACUCUGAGAAUAAAAAUGUUAUUCAAACAAAU
This 287-nucleotide long non-coding RNA is filed under the name Mytilus galloprovincialis (Mediterranean mussel). Lineage: Eukaryota; Metazoa; Mollusca; Bivalvia; Mytilida; Mytilidae. The record is from RNAcentral.